RNAcentral lists this non-coding RNA (197 nucleotides) under Brevundimonas sp. AAP58. RNAcentral also lists the same sequence under 1 other name. The record is from RNAcentral. Lineage: Bacteria; Pseudomonadati; Pseudomonadota; Alphaproteobacteria; Caulobacterales; Caulobacteraceae.
UAGCGUGAGGGUGCGACAGGUUCCCCGGCGACGGGGAUGAAAAGGGAACUCGGGUGAGAGACCCGGGCUGACCACGCAACUGUAAGCGGCGAGCCCGCGCGUCGAAUGCCACUGGCGGCCCGAGCGGCUUCCGGGAAGGCGGCGCGCACCGGCCCUGACCCGCGAGCCAGGAGACCUGCCUGUCGCGGUCGUGCGUC